RNAcentral lists this ribosomal RNA (403 nucleotides) under uncultured bacterium. Its description in RNAcentral is "partial 16S ribosomal RNA". It matches the Rfam family "Bacterial small subunit ribosomal RNA", at positions 30 to 526 of the family's 1533-position model. The record is from RNAcentral.
AUUGAACGCUGGCGGCAGGCCUAACACAUGCAAGUCGAGCGAGCGGCGGACGGGUGAGUAAUGUAUGGGGACUGCCCGAUAGAGGGGGAUAACUACUGGAAACGGUGGCUAAUACCGCAUACUAUCGGAUAACCCAUAUGGGAUUAGCUAGUAGGUGGGGUAAAGGCUCACCUAGGCGACGAUCUCUAGCUGGUCUGAGAGGGUGAUCGGCCACACUGGGACUGAGACACGGCCCAGACUCCUACGGAGGCAGCAGUGGGGAAUAUUGGACAAUGGACGAAAGCCUGACGGAGCAAUGCCGCGUGUAUGAAGAAGGUUUUAGGAUUGUAAAACACUGUCGGCAGGGAAGCGGUAUCUAAAGAAAAAGCAACGGCUAACUACGUGCCAGCAGCCGCGGUAAUAC